Molecule: long non-coding RNA, 2050 nt
Organism: Bos taurus (domestic cattle)
Lineage: Eukaryota; Metazoa; Chordata; Mammalia; Artiodactyla; Bovidae
Source: Ensembl
CCUCUCUGGUCUCUCUUAUCCCUCUGCCUUCCUCUGAUCUAUACAGUAGCCAGAGGGAUCUUUAAAAAUGUAAGUCAGACCAUGUCACUCCCAGCUUAGAACCCACCAAAGGCUCCCACUGCACUUUUCAUAAACCCUGAUGCCACACCUGGUCUGCAAAGCCCUGUCCUGUCUGCUUCCCCUUUGAACCAAAAGUCACGUCCACAGUGGCAUGCUCCACACCCUCUCCUUUGCUUGACUGGUUCCUUCUGGUCUUUCAGGCUUCAGUUCAGAUGUCACCUCCUCAGAGAGGCCCUCCCUGACUACCAUAACACGUCACCUCCCUGAAAUCCAGUCUCACGUGGCCUGUUUUAGUAUCUUAUGGCUCUUUAGAAUCUCCGAAAUGAUUCUGUUCAACUAUUUGUUUACUUGAUUAUGGUCUGUCUCCCUGAAUGAGAAUGUAAGCUCUAAGAGGCUGAUGUCCCCAUGGUCUAAACUGCGCCUGGUACUUAGUACGCACUAGAUAAACAUCUGAAAGAAUGUUGUGGUUGGUGUGAUCUGGAUCAAGAAGUCCAGCCCUUCUCUACCUCAGGUUCCUUUCUCUGUUGGGCUCUUGUCUCCUCUCUGCCUCCCAGGGAGAGCUCCGGAUGAGAUCAGAGAUGGCAAAAGCGUUCCUCCGGGGGUGGGAGGGCUCGAUGCCCGCCUGGAGAUGAGGUCAGCGUGGCAGGCACCUCUCCGCUGUGCAGGAGGCAAGGAGAGUUGCAAGGAUCGUUUUGACUAGACCCCAGCCCCGAAUGAGAGCCUAGACGGGCUGGGGAGGGUGCGCAACCCCUUCCUCCGUUGGGAAGCUCCUCUCGGCGGGGCCUCCAGUUCCCCCCUCCCCGGGGAGGCAGGUGGAGCUGCGUCCCCAUCUUUGUUCCCAUCUGGAGCGCGUUUGGCGCGGCGUGGCGGGGGCGGGGCUGCGCCCCCGCGGUGCCCGGAGAGACUGGCCCGCCCGCUUAUCUGAUCUGCGGCUAAUUGAAACUCCCUGCUUGCGAAGGUCAGCUCGGUCCCCUGACAGCUGCCGAGCCGAGCCGGGCCGGAUGGAAAACCCGGGCUGAAGUGUGCGCGGUGGGGGGCACGGCCUGGCCCCGGGGCGGCCAUCCGGUGGGGCAGGUGCGGCCUCAGCCCUGGGAGGGAGGGAGGGCAGGCAGGCCCGUUGCUAAUAGUGCUGGGGCAGGAGGGGGGUGGGGCGCGCACUGCGGGGAGUCCCGUCUCCAGGGUUCCGGGUGCGGAUGUGGCUGGCUAGGAGGUCCCGCCCGUCGCGCCCCAGGCAGGCCCAGGCUCAGCAAAGCAGGCACGUGUCCCCUCAACCUCCGGCCUGAGACUAGGCUAAGAUGCUGGGAAGCUCCCAAGGUGUAACUCGGCCUUUGGGCUGACCGCGCCCUUGAGCCACGCUUUUUGGGCCUCGGCUUUUGCAGUCUGUAAAAAAUAACCCUAGUGACAGCUACCAUUUUUCAGAACCACGUGCCAAACAUAGUGUUAAACGUUUAACGUACUUUUUCUCAAGCCACGCGACAAUUCCAUUUUGCUGAUGAGCAAGGUGAGACGCAGAGAGGUUGCGACUUGCCCGAAGUCACACAGCUAGCAAGAUACCUAGGCGGGACUCCAGGUUCUUUACGGGUGGUCUUGUUUUAGCAAGAGGUCUGGAGUGGUGCACCUAUAUAGGUCGAUCGCACAGGGCAUUCACUAGUUCCGUGAGCCCCUUGGUGGCGUCUCGCUGCACGUGUUCUAGUCUUGGAGCUGGGCACGUGUAUCUUGGCGCACUCCCUCGUGCCAAAGCCUGGGGACAGAGGCAUAGCCUAGCGCACUGGUGCCCAGGUGCGCCCUUCCCGGUUAGGACCCGGCAGAGUCAUAUGGUCUGAGCCGCGGGCUGAGUGGAGCGGGGGCGGGGAACUCAGAGUAGAGUCCACGCGGGCCGAGGCGCCUGGGAGGCCGCAAUCCCGGCGCCUGCAGCCGGCGAGGCUCGGGGUGACGCGAGGGGGCCCAGCUACCGUGACCUCCUCCGCGGUUUCCAUGGAGACGGUGCACU